CCUACGGGUGGCAGCAGUGAGGAAUCUUGGUCAAUGGGCGAAAGCCUGAACCAGCCAAGCCGCGUGAGGGAAGAAGGUCCUGUGGUUUGUAAACCUCUUUUUUAGGGGAAUAAAGGCGUGCACGUGUCUGUUCAUGUUUCUACCGUAUGUAAAAGCAUCGGCUAACUCCGUGCCAGCAGCCGCGGUAAUACGGAGGAUGCGAGCGUUACCCGGAUUGAUUGGGUUUAAAGGGUACGUAGGGGGUUUUUUAAGUCAGCGGUGAAAGUUUGGGGCUCAACCAUAGAACUGCCGUUGAAACUGGGAGACUUGAGUGUGGAUGAGGUAGGCGGAAUGCGAGGUGUAGCGGUGAAAUGCGUAGAUAUCGCGAAGAACUCCGAUUGCGAAGGCAGCUUACUGGGCCAUAACUGACGCUGAGGCACGAAAGCGUGGGUAUCAAACAGGAUUAGAUACCCUGGUAGUC
RNAcentral lists this ribosomal RNA (460 nucleotides) under uncultured bacterium. RNAcentral's name for it is "partial 16S ribosomal RNA". It matches the Rfam family "Bacterial small subunit ribosomal RNA", at positions 338 to 795 of the family's 1533-position model. The record is from RNAcentral.